Molecule: ribosomal RNA, 465 nt
Filed under: Vreelandella stevensii
Lineage: Bacteria; Pseudomonadati; Pseudomonadota; Gammaproteobacteria; Oceanospirillales; Halomonadaceae
Description: partial 16S ribosomal RNA
Rfam family: Bacterial small subunit ribosomal RNA
Source: RNAcentral
CCUACGGGAGGCAGCAGUGGGGAAUAUUGGACAAUGGGGGGAACCCUGAUCCAGCCAUGCCGCGUGUGUGAAGAAGGCCCUCGGGUUGUAAAGCACUUUCAGUGAGGAAGAACGCCUGGUGGUUAAUACCCAUCAGGAAAGACAUCACUCACAGAAGAAGCACCGGCUAACUCCGUGCCAGCAGCCGCGGUAAUACGGAGGGUGCGAGCGUUAAUCGGAAUUACUGGGCGUAAAGCGCGCGUAGGUGGCUUGAUAAGCCGGUUGUGAAAGCCCCGGGCUCAACCUGGGAACGGCAUCCGGAGCUGUCAAGCUAGAGUGCAGGAGAGGAAGGUAGAAUUCCCGGUGUAGCGGUGAAAUGCGUAGAGAUCGGGAGGAAUACCAGUGGCGAAGGCGGCCUUCUGGACUGACACUGACACUGAGGUGCGAAAGCGUGGGUAGCAAACAGGAUUAGAUACCCUAGUAGUC